Molecule: ribosomal RNA, 492 nt
Filed under: uncultured bacterium
Lineage: Bacteria
Description: partial 16S ribosomal RNA
Rfam family: Bacterial small subunit ribosomal RNA
Source: RNAcentral
AGUGAACGCUGGCGGCAGGCCUAACACAUGCAAGUCGAACGGCAGCACAGUAAGAGCUUGCUCGCACGGGUGGCGAGGGGCGGACGGGUGAGGCAAACAUCGGAAUCUACUUUUUCGAGGGGGAUAACGAAGGGAAACUUACGCUAAUACCGCAUACGACCUACAGGGAAAAGCACGGGCUCUUCGGGCCUUGCGCGAUUGAAUGAGCCGACGUCGAAUUAGCUAGUUGGCGGGCUAAAGGCCCAACAAGGCGACGGUCCGUAGCUGGUCUGAGAGGCUGAUCUGCCUCACUGGAACUGAGCCCCGGUCCCAGCUCCUAGGGGAGGCAGCAGUCGGGAAUAUUGGCCAAUGGGCGAAAGCCUGCUCCAGCCAUACCGCGUGGGUGGAAAAGGCCUUCGGGUCGUAAAGCUCUUUUGUUGGGAAAGAACAGCAUCAGGUUACUACCCCGCUGUUCUGACGUUACCCAAAGAAUAAGCACCGGCUAACUUCGUG